GACGAACGCUGGCGGCGUGCUUAACACAUGCAAGUCGAACGGAAAGGCCCUGCUUUUGUGGGGUGCUCGAGUGGCGAACGAGUGAGUAACACGUGAGUAACCUGCCCUUGACUUUGGGAUAACUUCAGGAAACUGGGGCUAAUACCGGAUAGGAGCUCCUGCUGCAUGGUGGGGGUUGGAAAGUUUCGGCGGUUGGGGAUGGACUCGCGGCUUACCAGCUUGUUGGUGGGGUAGUGGCUUACCAAGGCUUUGACGGGUAGCCGGCCUGAGAGGGUGGCCGGCCACAUUGGGACUGAGGGACGGCCCAGACUCCUACGGGAGGCAGCAGUGGGGAAUAUUGCACAAUGGGCGGAAGCCUGAUGCAGCAACGCCGCGUGCGGGAUGACGGCCUUCGGGUUGUAAACCGCUUUCGCCUGUGACGAAGCGGGAGUGACGGUAAUGGGUAAAGAAGCACCGGCUAACUACGUG
Molecule: ribosomal RNA, 468 nt
Filed under: uncultured bacterium
Lineage: Bacteria
Description: partial 16S ribosomal RNA
Rfam family: Bacterial small subunit ribosomal RNA
Source: RNAcentral